This 219-nucleotide ribosomal RNA is filed under the name Radopholus similis. RNAcentral describes it as "partial 28S ribosomal RNA". It matches the Rfam family "Eukaryotic large subunit ribosomal RNA", at positions 687 to 878 of the family's 3401-position model. The record is from RNAcentral. Lineage: Eukaryota; Metazoa; Nematoda; Chromadorea; Rhabditida; Pratylenchidae.
UUAGUCAUUGGGCGUUGAAAACCCAAAGGCGCAAUGAAAGUGAAUGACUCCCUCGUGGAGCUGAUGUGCGACCCUGCGUACUGCGGUGCGUGGGGGCAGCAUAGUCCCGUCUUGACCGCUUGCGGUGGGGCGGAGAAAGAGCGUACGCGCUGAGACCCGAAAGAUGGUGAACUAUUCCUGAGCAGGAUGAAGCCAGAGGAAACUCUGGUGGAAGUCCGA